RNAcentral lists this ribosomal RNA (301 nucleotides) under uncultured bacterium. Its description in RNAcentral is "partial 16S ribosomal RNA". It matches the Rfam family "Bacterial small subunit ribosomal RNA", at positions 509 to 807 of the family's 1533-position model. The record is from RNAcentral.
CAGUAGCCGCGGGAAUACAGAGGGUGCAAGCGUUAAUCGGAAUUACUGGGCGUAAAGCGCGCGUAGGUGGUUUGUUAAGUUGGAUGUGAAAGCCCCGGGCUCAACCUGGGAACUGCAUCCAAAACUGGCAAGCUAGAGUACGGUAGAGGGUGGUGGAAUUUCCUGUGUAGCGGUGAAAUGCGUAGAUAUAGGAAGGAACACCAGUGGCGAAGGCGACCACCUGGACUGAUACUGACACUGAGGUGCGAAAGCGUGGGGAUCAAACAGGAUUAGAUACCCCGGUAGUCCCUGUCUCUUAUAC